CAGCCGCCGCGGGAAAACGUAGGUGGCAAGCGUUGUCUGGAAUUAUUGGGCGUAAAGGGCUCGCAGGCGGUUUCUUAAGUCUGAUGUGAAAGCCCCCGGCUCAACCGGGGAGGGUCAUUGGAAACUGGGAAACUUGAGUGCAGAAGAGGAGAGUGGAAUUCCACGUGUAGCGGUGAAAUGCGUAGAGAUGUGGAGGAACACCAGUGGCGAAGGCGACUCUCUGGUCUGUAACUGACGCUGAGGAGCGAAAGCGUGGGGAGCGAACAGGAUUAGAUACCCGCGUAGUCCCUGUCUCUUAUAC
RNAcentral lists this ribosomal RNA (301 nucleotides) under uncultured bacterium. Its description in RNAcentral is "partial 16S ribosomal RNA". It matches the Rfam family "Bacterial small subunit ribosomal RNA", at positions 509 to 807 of the family's 1533-position model. The record is from RNAcentral.